RNAcentral lists this ribosomal RNA (282 nucleotides) under uncultured bacterium. RNAcentral's name for it is "partial 16S ribosomal RNA". It matches the Rfam family "Bacterial small subunit ribosomal RNA", at positions 28 to 334 of the family's 1533-position model. The record is from RNAcentral.
GAUGAACGCUGGCGAGAUGCUUUACACAUGCAAGUCGUACGAGAGUUUUAAACUCAAGUGGCGGACGGGUGAGUAACACGUAAGAAUUUGCCUCUAGGAGGGGGACAACAGACAGAAAUGACUGCUAAUACCCCAUAUGCUUUCGAGUGAAAUGGAUUUUUCCGCCUAGUAGAGAAGCUUGCGGCUGAUUAGCUUGUUGGUAGGGUAAUGGCUUACCAAGGCGACGAUCAGUAUCUGGUUUGAGAGGAUGAUCAGACACACUGGAACUGAGACACGGUCCAG